This is an RNA transcript of Hemiscyllium ocellatum (epaulette shark), 894 nucleotides long. It is a transcript of the gene named dual specificity phosphatase 23b, with no coding region annotated. Lineage: Eukaryota; Metazoa; Chordata; Chondrichthyes; Orectolobiformes; Hemiscylliidae. The transcript has 4 exons. The record is from RefSeq and is a predicted model, not a curated record.
AUAGGUUCCAGUGAGUGUUUAUCGAAGGGGAUCUUGUUGUGAUUUCGCUUCCUGUUCUGUGGACUCUUAAGUGUUUCAUUCAGAGUUACGGUGAAUGAAAAAUGGCAUCUGCCCCACAUAACUUUUCCUGGAUUGAACCCAAAAAGCUGGCUGGGAUGGCAAUGCCACGAUUACCUGCUCACUACCAGUAUUUGUAUGAUAAUGGCAUUAAACACCUUGUCACACUCAGUGAGAGGAAGCCACCAUACCACGAUACUUGUCCGGGAUUGAAGAUCCAUCAUAUAAAGAUCGAUGAUUUUUGUCCACCCUCUUUUGAACAGAUCAAAAGGUUUCUUGCUGUUGUUGAGGAAGCCAGUGCAAAGGGCGAGGGAGUUGGAGUCCACUGUCUUCAUGGCUUUGGGAGAACUGGAACGAUGCUUGCUUGUUAUCUUGUAAAAAGUAAGAAAAUAACAGGAGUUGAUGCAAUUGCAGAAAUACGAAGGAUUCGUCGUGGUUCUAUAGAAACCCAUGAACAAGAAAAAUCAGUUAUUCAAUUCUAUCAACGUACAAAAUAAGUAAAUUUCAAUUAUUACCAUUGUACAAAUGGUCUAUUACGAUUUUUCCACAAGGUGGUAUGAUCAUUACUGAAUUCCCCUGCUGUCAACAUUGGGGUUCGAGGAGGGGCUGGAGGACAGCUCAUCACCAUUGACCAGAAACUGAACCAGACUAUUCUUAUAAAUACUGUGGAUACAAGAGAGAUCAUAAGAUAUGAAUUCUGUAGCUAGUGACACACAUUCUGACUUCCCAAAGUCUGUCCAUCAUCUACAGGUCAGGAAUGUGAUAGGAGCCUGAAAGACUGCAGCUGAAAAAUAUGUUGCUGGAAAAGCGCAGCAGGUCAGGCAGCAUUCAAGGAGC